ACACAGCUGAUGAGACCAAACCAGGUCGAAACAGCUGUCUAGUGC
Molecule: non-coding RNA, 45 nt
Filed under: Echinostoma caproni
Lineage: Eukaryota; Metazoa; Platyhelminthes; Trematoda; Plagiorchiida; Echinostomatidae
Source: RNAcentral